GGGCCGGUAGCUCAGCUUGGCUGGAGCGUUCGACUGAUAAUCGAAAGGUCGAGAGUUCGAAUCUCUCUCGGCCCA
This 75-nucleotide transfer RNA is filed under the name Nitrososphaera sp. RNAcentral's name for it is "tRNA-Ile". It matches the Rfam family "tRNA". Rfam says of the family: Transfer RNA (tRNA) molecules are approximately 80 nucleotides in length. Their secondary structure includes four short double-helical elements and three loops (D, anti-codon, and T loops). Lineage: Archaea; Thermoproteati; Nitrososphaerota; Nitrososphaeria; Nitrososphaerales; Nitrososphaeraceae. RNAcentral also lists the same sequence under 4 other names. The record is from RNAcentral.